AUGCCUUGCUUUGAAAGCUGCAGCUUUGGAGUUUCCGAGAACCGAGAACCGUCCCUGGGGGAGCAGGUGGCAGGCUGUGAGGCUCCCGCGUCCCCGCUGAUUCCUGCACAGUUACGGAGGGAGAGUGUGCCAGAAAUGGCUUUGCUGCCGAAUGCAUUAUCUUGCCAUUUUCAUAGCCCCGUACCGCACAAACGAUCGCCUGAUCGAUCGGGAGGGAAAGGUAGAGUGGAAAUUGAUUUUUUGCAGAGACUGAGGCGCCGAAUGAUAGAGGGAAAUAAACAUUUUGCCUGGGAUAAAAAUGCUCUUGUUCUUGCACCAGAUACAUAUUCAAAGCCCCCAAAUAGGUAUUUGCCUAUUGCGGUGAUCCCCAUAAAUUCGUAAAGCCUUCUGGCUUUCCUGAGUCUAUAGCACCCCCAGCCUGCACAGGCUCCUUCUGUGAAGAAUGGUAAGUGGAGGGGUGGGAAGAAGCCACAGAACUCUGGAUUGUAUGUCACUGGGUGCGCAGAAUCACAAAUCGUACAGAUUGUGUGAAUUUGGCUUUUCGAAGUGUAAGCUGACCAUUUUGGACGUGAACAAUGAACGGAGAUUUGCACUUUGGAGGUAUAUGUUACCCGUGAAAUAUUCAUACUAAUUCUUCCCUCUAUCGUUGUCAUUUGUUUCCACUAUAAACUUCUUCUCCCCCAGUCAUCACGAUAACAGGUAAGCUAAUGGUCCCAAAAUGUAUUACUCAUACAGACAGGAUGUCCUUGACCUCAUCUGAAAUGUCUGAUCUUAAAACUCCAUAGAUAGAAUGGUAAGAAGAGGCUUUAUUUCCGAUAAUCAACGUUCUACAAAUCACUAGCACGAGAUCCCAGAAGGAACACAGCCGAGUGGAAGACGAUAACGGUGAGGCCCAGUGUGCGUGUGAGCAAGUC
Molecule: long non-coding RNA, 914 nt
Filed under: Sus scrofa (pig)
Lineage: Eukaryota; Metazoa; Chordata; Mammalia; Artiodactyla; Suidae
Description: lncRNA (ENSSSCG00050033098.1)
Source: RNAcentral